GCCACUGUGGUCUAGCGGUUAGAACGCUGGCCUUGUAAUCCUGGGGUCUCGGGUUCGAUUUCCGGCGGUACCC
RNAcentral lists this transfer RNA (73 nucleotides) under Zootermopsis nevadensis. It matches the Rfam family "tRNA". From Rfam's summary of the family: Transfer RNA (tRNA) molecules are approximately 80 nucleotides in length. Their secondary structure includes four short double-helical elements and three loops (D, anti-codon, and T loops). Further hydrogen bonds mediate the characteristic L-shaped molecular structure. tRNAs have two regions of fundamental functional importance: the anti-codon, which is responsible for specific mRNA codon recognition, and the 3' end, to which the tRNAs corresponding amino acid is attached (by aminoacyl-tRNA synthetases). tRNAs cope with the degeneracy of the genetic code in two manners: having more than one tRNA (with a specific anti-codon) for a particular amino acid; and 'wobble' base-pairing, i.e. permitting non-standard base-pairing at the 3rd anti-codon position. Lineage: Eukaryota; Metazoa; Arthropoda; Insecta; Blattodea; Termopsidae. The record is from Rfam by way of RNAcentral.